This 1297-nucleotide long non-coding RNA is filed under the name Salmo salar (Atlantic salmon). RNAcentral's name for it is "lncRNA (ENSSSAG00000093326.1)". Lineage: Eukaryota; Metazoa; Chordata; Actinopteri; Salmoniformes; Salmonidae. The record is from RNAcentral.
AGCCCACAAAGAUCUCCGCCACGGCACAACCCAAGGGGGGCGCCAACCCAGACAGGAAGACCACGUCAGUGACUCAACACACUCAAGUGACGCACCCCCCCUAGGGACGGCAUGGAAGAACACCAAUAAGCCAGUGACUUAGCCCCUGUAAUAGGGUUAGAGGCAGAGAAUCCCAGUGGAGAGAGGGGAACCAGGCAGAGACAGAAAGGACUGUUCGUUGCUCCAGAAACCUUUCUGUUCACCUUCACACUCCUGGGCCAGACUACACUCAAUCAUAGGAUCCACUGAAGAGAUGAGUCUUCAGUAAAGACUUAAAGGUUGAGACCGAGUCUGCGUCUCUCACAUGGUUAGGCAGACCAUUCCAUAAAAAUGGAACUCUACAGGAGAAUGCCCUGCCUCCAGCUGUUUGCUUAGAAAUUCUAUGGACAAUUAGGAGGCCUGCGUCUUGUGACCGUCAUGUACGUGAUGGUCCUCCCCUUCCUCCUCUGAGGUGCCUCCACUGGCCGAUACAUCUUCAUUCCAGUCUAAUCCCUACGGAGUUGGUUAUACAGCACAAACUGAUCUGAGACCAGGACCUCGAUCCAGCCGGUAUACGUGUUGCACAAUGACACUCUAGUCUAUUCUUUGGAAAAUGAUUAUACAACAAGCCUGUCAUGUCAGCGGAGACACGAGGUGUGGUGAGCCUGCCUGGACUGACUGUUGUCAGGGGGGCUGAUAGGAGUGGAGUUGUGUUUCAUCAUCCAUUGAUGGCUGUCCUCUUGACAUCUGAUAUCAGUUGGCUGGCUGCUGACAGGGAACAGUGCCACGGACCCUCUUACUCUCUUGGUGCCCUUCGGACACACAUAACAACACGGCAAGGUGACCAGACAGCAGUGGAACAAACAUGAAAUGAUUGAACUCCCUGACCCUGCAAGCUUUAUAGCUGUUGUGUACUAGACUACAGCACAACAUCAUACCCCCUGACACUUUAUUAGCCUUCUUUGUUAGAUACAUGCUAAUUAGCGUCUGUGGAGGUCGCCUUUUAGGACAUCUGGCGUGCAGAACAUUUCUAGAACGCUCACAGACACGAGUUUGAAAAUGUAGUGAUGGUUAUCUUGUAGUUUGCCAUUGUCUGAGUGAUUAUUACAGUCGCUCAGACUCAUUUAGAUGGCAGAUAUUCAUCAGAAUCCGUUUGAUAUUUGGACAUAAUUACAGAACAUUCAGGGGCAGAAAUGACACUUCUAUUUGGAACCAAGCCAUCUCGCUACUACAUUAUUGCACUUAGUGUUGCAAUGCAAUGGGUUGUGCCAUAAACGUG